Molecule: unclassified non-coding RNA, 144 nt
Filed under: uncultured Helotiales
Lineage: Eukaryota; Fungi; Ascomycota; Leotiomycetes; Helotiales
Description: sequence contains ITS2
Source: RNAcentral
UAACCAAUCACGCCCUGUGCGUGGACUUGGGGUUUCGCGGUCUCGCGUCCCUUAAAACCAGUGGCGGUGCUGUUAGGCUCUAAGCGUAGUAAUUCUUCUCGCUACAGGGUCUUGCGGUUACUUGCCAUAACCCCAACUUUCUUA